Molecule: transfer RNA, 110 nt
Organism: Wallemia sebi
Lineage: Eukaryota; Fungi; Basidiomycota; Wallemiomycetes; Wallemiales; Wallemiaceae
Rfam family: tRNA
About the family: Transfer RNA (tRNA) molecules are approximately 80 nucleotides in length. Their secondary structure includes four short double-helical elements and three loops (D, anti-codon, and T loops). Further hydrogen bonds mediate the characteristic L-shaped molecular structure. tRNAs have two regions of fundamental functional importance: the anti-codon, which is responsible for specific mRNA codon recognition, and the 3' end, to which the tRNAs corresponding amino acid is attached (by aminoacyl-tRNA synthetases). tRNAs cope with the degeneracy of the genetic code in two manners: having more than one tRNA (with a specific anti-codon) for a particular amino acid; and 'wobble' base-pairing, i.e. permitting non-standard base-pairing at the 3rd anti-codon position.
Source: Rfam
GCUUCAGUGGCUCAAUGGUAGAGUAUUGGACUUCUAGUAUAAUCGAAGACCUUCGGGUUCAAGAUUAGCUGGCCAUCCAAAGGUUGCGGGUUCGAGCCCCGUCUGAAGUA